This 1345-nucleotide ribosomal RNA is filed under the name uncultured bacterium. RNAcentral's name for it is "partial 16S ribosomal RNA". It matches the Rfam family "Bacterial small subunit ribosomal RNA", at positions 28 to 1381 of the family's 1533-position model. The record is from RNAcentral.
GACGAACGCUGGCGGCGUGCUUAACACAUGCAAGUCGAACGGAAAGGCCCUGCUUUUGUGGGGUGCUCGAGUGGCGAACGGGUGAGUAACACGUGAGUAACCUGCCCUUGACUUUGGGAUAACUUCAGGAAACUGGGGCUAAUACCGGAUAGGAGCUCCUGCUGCAUGGUGGGGGUUGGAAAGUUUCGGCGGUUGGGGAUGGACUCGCGGCUUAUCAGCUUGUUGGUGGGGUAGUGGCUUACCAAGGCUUUGACGGGUAGCCGGCCUGAGAGGUGACCGGCCACAUUGGGACUGAGAUACGGCCCAGACUCCUACGGGAGGCAGCAGUGGGGAAUAUUGCACAAUGGGCGGAAGCCUGAUGCAGCAACGCCGCGUGCGGGAUGACGGCCUUCGGGUUGUAAACCGCUUUCGCCUGUGACGAAGCGUGAGUGACGGUAAUGGGUAAAGAAGCACCGGCUAACUACGUGCCAGCAGCCGCGGUGAUACGUAGGGUGCGAGCGUUGUCCGGAUUUAUUGGGCGUAAAGGGCUCGUAGGUGGUUGAUCGCGUCGGAAGUGUAAUCUUGGGGCUUAACCCUGAGCGUGCUUUCGAUACGGGUUGACUUGAGGAAGGUAGGGGAGAAUGGAAUUCCUGGUGGAGCGGUGGAAUGCGCAGAUAUCAGGAGGAACACCAGUGGCGAAGGCGGUUCUCUGGGCCUUUCCUGACGCUGAGGAGCGAAAGCGUGGGGAGCGAACAGGCUUAGAUACCCUGGUAGUCCACGCUGUAAACGGUGGGUACUAGGUGUGGGGUCCAUUCCACGGGUUCCGUGCCGUAGCUAACGCUUUAAGUACCCCGCCUGGGGAGUACGGCCGCAAGGCUAAAACUCAAAGGAAUUGACGGGGCCCCGCACAAGCGGCGGAGCAUGCGGAUUAAUUCGAUGCAACGCGUAGAACCUUACCUGGGUUUGACAUGGAUCGGGAGUGCUCAGAGAUGGGUGUGCCUCUUUUGGGGUCGGUUCACAGGUGGUGCAUGGCUGUCGUCAGCUCGUGUCGUGAGAUGUUGGGUUAAGUCCCGCAACGAGCGCAACCCUUGUUCACUGUUGCCAGCACGUUAUGGUGGGGACUCAGUGGAGACCGCCGGGGUCAACUCGGAGGAAGGUGGGGAUGACGUCAAGUCAUCAUGCCCCUUAUGUCCAGGGCUUCACGCAUGCUACAAUGGCUGGUACAGAGAGUGGCGAGCCUGUGAGGGUGAGCGAAUCUCGGAAAGCCGGUCUCAGUUCGGAUUGGGGUCUGCAACUCGACCUCAUGAAGUCGGAGUCGCUAGUAAUCGCAGAUCAGCAACGCUGCGAUGAAUACGUUCCCGGGGCU